This 484-nucleotide ribosomal RNA is filed under the name uncultured bacterium. RNAcentral's name for it is "partial 16S ribosomal RNA". It matches the Rfam family "Bacterial small subunit ribosomal RNA", at positions 30 to 507 of the family's 1533-position model. The record is from RNAcentral.
AUUGAACGCUGGCGGCAGGCCUAACACAUGCAAGUCGAGCGGAUGAAGGGAGCUUGCUCCUGGAUUCAGCGGCGGACGGGUGAGUAAUGCCUAGGAAUCUGCCUGGUAGUGGGGGAUAACGUCCGGAAACGGGCGCUAAUACCGCAUAUGCCCUGAGGGAGAAAGUGGGGGAUCUUCGGACCUCACGCUAUCAGAUGAGCCUAGGUCGGAUUAGCUAGUUGGUGGGGUAAAGGCCUACCAAGGCGACGAUCCGUAACUGGUCUGAGAGGAUGAUCAGUCACACUGGAACUGGGAAACGGUCCAGACCCCUAAGGGAGGGAGGAGUGGGGAAUAUUGGACAAUGGGCGAAAGCCUGAUCCAGCCAUGCCGCGUGUGUGAAGAAGGUCUUCGGAUUGUAAAGCACUUUAAGUUGGGAGGAAGGGCAGUAAGUUAAUACCUUGCUGUUUUGACGUUACCAACAGAAUAAGCACCGGCUAACUUCGUG